This 468-nucleotide ribosomal RNA is filed under the name uncultured bacterium. Its description in RNAcentral is "partial 16S ribosomal RNA". It matches the Rfam family "Bacterial small subunit ribosomal RNA", at positions 28 to 507 of the family's 1533-position model. The record is from RNAcentral.
GACGAACGCUGGCGGCGUGCUUAACACAUGCAAGUCGAACGGAAAGGCCCUGCUUUUGUGGGGUGCUCGAGUGGCGAACGGGUGAGUAACACGUGAGUAACCUGCCCUUGACUUUGGGAUAACGUCAGGAAACUGGGGCUAAUACCGGAUAGGAGCUCCUGCUGCAUGGUGGGGGUUGGAAAGUUUCGGCGGUUGGGGAUGGACUCGCGGCUUAUCAGCUUGUUGGUGGGGUAGUGGCUUACCAAGGCUUUGACGGGUAGCCGGCCUGAGAGGGUGACCGGCCACAUUGGGACUGAGAUACGGCCCAGACUCCUACGGGAGGCAGCAGUGGGGAAUAUUGCACAAUGGGCGGAAGCCUGAUGCAGCAACGCCGCGUGCGGGAUGACGUCCUUCGGGUUGUAAACCGUGUUCGCCUGUGACGAAGCGUGAGUGACGGUAAUGGGUAAAGAAGCACCGGCUAACUACGUG